Molecule: unclassified non-coding RNA, 395 nt
Filed under: soil metagenome
Description: partial contains 5.8S ribosomal RNA, internal transcribed spacer 2, and large subunit ribosomal RNA
Rfam family: 5.8S ribosomal RNA (bases 1-122)
Source: RNAcentral
GAUGAAGAACGUAGCGAAAUGCAAUACUUGGUGUGAAUUGCAGAAUCCCGUGAACCAUCGAGUCUUUGAACGCAAGUUGCGCCCGAAGCCAUCAGGUUGAGGGCACGUCUGCCUGGGCGUCACAUAUCGUUGCCCAAUGCCUAUUGCAGUGCAAUAGGAAUUUCUAGGGCGAAUGAUGGCUUCCCGUGAGCGUUGUUGCCUCGCGGUUGGUUGAAAAUCGAGUCCUUGGUAGGGUGUGCCAUGGUAGAUGGUGGUCGAGUUAGAACGAUACCGAUCAUGUGCAUGCUCCCCAAAAUAUGGCCUCUAUGACCCACACGCGUCUUUUGACGCUCAUGACGAGACCUCAGGUCAGGCGGGGCUACCCGCUGAAUUUAAGCAUAUCAAUAAGCGGAGGA